Molecule: non-coding RNA, 21183 nt
Organism: Equus caballus (horse)
Lineage: Eukaryota; Metazoa; Chordata; Mammalia; Perissodactyla; Equidae
Source: RefSeq, a predicted model, not a curated record
UAAUAUAAAGUAUUUAGUGAUUUUUCUAGGUAAGUUUCUGUUAUUGAUUAUGACUUAAUCUAUGGUGGUCAGAGAAGAGAAUUUUACAUGAUUUUAAUUUUUAAAAAAUCGUUGAGGCUUGUUUUAUGACUCAGAACAUGGCCUAUCUUGGUGAACGUUCCAUAAGCAUGACCAACGAAUGUGUACUCAGCUGUUGUUGAUUAAAGUGUCCUCUAAAUAGCAAUUAGGUCAACUUAUUUAGUAGUGUUGAUCACUAAGUCUUACUGAUUUUCUGUCUACUUGUUCUGUCAGUUAUCGAGAGGAGUGUCAAAAUCUCCAGUUAUAAUUGUAUACUUAUCUAUUUUUUCUUUUUGUUCAAUCAGUUUAUACUUCAUGCAUUUUAAAGCUGUACUAAGUGCCUGCGCAUGUAGGAUUCUUAUGUCUUUUUGAUGAAUUGACCACUUUGUCAUUAUGCAAUGUCUCCCUUUAUCCCUGGUAAUAGUCCUUUUUUUCCUGAAAUCUGCUUUCUCUAAUAUUAAUGUAACUACUUCAGCUUUAUUUUGAGUAGGAAUUUCAUAGUGUAUCUUUUUUCUCCAUCCUUUUACUUUUAAUCAGUUUGUGUUUCCCUGUUUUUGGAGUAGGUUUCUUAUAGAUAGCAAAUAGUUGGGUCCUGUUUUGCAAUAUAAUCUGACAAUCUUAGCUACACUUGUACCACCAAGAGGGUCUCUCCCUGGUCUCCCGCCCUUUCUGCCAUCUUUCUUGUGAGCACUCUCUAGAGACCACCGGUAAAGAGCUUGCAGGUGAGUGCAAACUUGCCUUGUGUCUGGGGAGCCUACCUAUUCCACACUGACAAGCUAGCCCACACCGGCUUUUAAGAAUAUGUCAAAACCUUAGAUAAUGUCUUUCUACCCACUUUUACAGCAGCCACCUUUUCCUUCCUUACUCUGCCAAAGGUGAAGCCGCAUUUGCGUUCCUUCUCUCCUCGCGGGGCUUGUCACUCUUUGGAAUUCAGUUUGCUUGGUUGCCUUGUGACCUCGGCUCCUUGAUGGGUUCAAGAAAAGUUAGGAUUUUGUAGAUUAUCUGCCAUUUUCUCCUGUGGUUUUCUACUUCCUAAGUGAAAGCAGAAGCUUCCUGGAGGGUUUUAAGCAACAGAGUGAUGUUAUCUGAGGGACAUUUUUAAAAACUCCCUCUGGCUGCUUUGUGGAGAAUUCAUUUUAAGGGAAUAAGUGUGGAAGUGGGGAGACCAUGGAGGAGGCUGGCAAAACAGUUUAGUCACGAGAGAGUGGUGGCCUGGAGCAGGGUGGUGCCCGGGGAGAAGGAGGGGUUUGGGACAUGUUUUAGAAGUAGACUAAGAGGAUUGGAUGAUGGACUGAAUGAGUGGAGUGAGGGAAAGGGAGGACUCAAGGGGAACUCCUCCCCUUAGUGCGAGCAAUGGAACGAAUGCUGGUGUCAAAACUGAUGGGAAAACAGAUCUAGGGGGAAAGUCAAGAGUUCUGUGUUGAACAUGCGGCAGUAUCAAGUCAGAAGUUGGAUUCUCAAGUCCAAGGCUCAGAGGAGAGUUCUGGUCUGACGAUUUACCUGUGAGAGUUAACAGUGUAGGAAUUAUACUUAAAGUCUUGGGACUGGAUGGGGUUACCUAGGGAACAGAUGUAGAUAGACAAGAUCACCCAUUUGACAUAGGAUGGAGGAAGAGGAGGGAGCAUCAAGGAGACAGAGAAGCAAUGGCCAAGGACACAGAGGAAAGACUUAAAUGAUCCCUUGAAGGAAGAUUUUAAUCUAGAUUUGGUAGGAAUCCAUAAAUCACAAAAAUACUGUAUUUCAUUCAAGAGAAACUUGAAAUAAUAAAACUCUAUUAACUCUUUUAUUAGGUAAGUAAGACUGCCAACUGCUUCUGGAAUCUUUGGCCCAAGAUCUUUCAUUGAUACCAAGCAGAGGUCUGCCAAUUGCUGGGGUGGGCGCUGGAACCUCUCUCUUUCCAAGACCAACUGCAGAAAAAGGCUAAUAGGUUCUCGAAAGAAACCCUGCUCCAAGUUCCACAGGAUCAGACCGAGCCCUUCAUUUGGAGCUCAGUAACAAAGUUUCUUGCAGUUGCAUGCAGAGGUGUCUUACAGGAAAUUUUAUUAAGCUUUGCAGAUAUGUGCACAUGUCAGAGGUUUGAUGUUCCUCUAAAUAUUUGCAUCGCCUCCUCUCUCUGAGGCAGAUGCUUCUUGGUCUGGUGGGUCCUGGCAUCAUCACACAGAUUCCCUCUUUGGUCUUUGCAUGUGUUAUUGUGAAAUCUUCAGAGAAGACAUGCUCCAUUGAGGAAGAGAAAUGUGGCUAAAGGAGCACAUUCAUGAGGCUGAUCAGAUGUUUUUAUUGGUUGUGACCUUUCUACUUAACCCCGGGAAUGUGCUGAUUUUGAUUUUAAAAAUAAAUCAUAAAUCUCGCAUUUAUUUUAUUUGUCCUCUGAAUCACAUACAGACUUAGACUAUAUAAUAUGAUUUAGAAAGAGUUUGGAUUUGUUUUUCAGGCAGUUAAGAACAAUAUGAUGUCCCUCUCAAACUUUCGGAAUGACAGAAUGAGACAAGCUGUACAGAGGAAGGCGAAUUUUGGUCUGAGAGCACCAAACCAUUUAUUCUACUGCUGUUUUCCAGCAACUAUAAAAGGCCACCGUUUCAACAUGCACUUAGCAUGCUGCAAUCGGAUCCACGCGCCUGUCAAGAAAUGCUUUAGGAAUGAAUUCUGUUGGGCUCUAGAGCACUGCACACUUCCCAAAUGUUCACAUUUUCCUCCCCUAAGGCGCAUACAUUUGGAUGUUUGAAUCCAUCUUGAUCCUUAUCCCUCCCCUUGGCACCUAGAAUGUCAUUUUUCAGAUAAUUAUUUUUAGUCAGUUUGGGCAUCUCUGUCAUCUUGUGUCAUCUUAAGGACCUUGGUUCUUUCUGCUAACCCUAGGGAAUGCAUCCCCACACCAGCUAUAUUCCAAGAUGGCCCUGCUUCUCCCCGCUCUGUCCUUCCAUCCCUGCCCAGGAGGGGGAGCCACUGAUGCACCCCGCCCAAGUGCAACAUUGGCAGUGGAGCACCUGGGACCACCUGGGGAGGCAUUUUCCAUUUUCCUCUUCAAUAGAAUUAAGAUGCUUCCCCCAUUCUGUUUUGCAUUGCCUCUCUUGGUGUUUUAUUUUAUUUGUUUUGGUUUAUUUAGGAUUUUUUUCUUAAUUUCAGAGACUAUAUGAAUAAUUAGAAGCAAGUUGUGAUCACUAGCAAAGUUUUAUCACCUGACUCUGCUUCUAAGUGUGUUAGCUGAAGACAAUUAAUAUGAAGGUAGCCUGAAUUUAAAAGAAAAAAGGGUUUUGGUUUUUAUGGAACUCAGAUGUCCAGAUGGGUGGGGGUGGGGAGGGCAAUUUCCCUGCCCCUUCACUUAAGAGUUCCUUGAGUUUGGCUUGAACGAUUGCUCUCCCCAAAGUUGUGCAAAUUCCUGGGGAGGCAGAAGGAAGGCUCAUUCUCGUGGAGUCUUCAGGCUCCACAUUCCUGCUUCUCCUGAACUGAUUCGGGUUGAGGGUCAUCUUGCCAUCUUCAGGCAUUAUUUUUGUUCUGUGCUAUGACAACCCAGACAUGGAACUUAGCCUCUUCCUUUGCCUCACACACGUACACACACAAAUACACACAAACCACUCGGACAAGGCGUGCGGGUGCGUUGCAGACUAAAUGUGUUUGAGAAAAUGGAGUGGAGGAAGACUUCACAGCAGCGCAACUUCACAUUUAAUAUUAGACAUCUGGUUGUAUUAGCGUAUAGAGAGAGAGAAAGAGAAAGAGAGAGAGAGAUUUAUUUUAAAGAGUUGGCUCGUGUGAUUAUGGAGGCUGGCAAGUCCAAAACCUGCAGUUUAAGUCUGAAGCUCACCAGACUGGAGACCCAGGAAAGAGCUGACCUUGCAGUUCAAGUCAAAAGACUGCCUGCUGGCAGAAUUCCCUCUGCUGGGGUGGGGGAGCUGGGGUCUCAGGCUUUUGUUGUAGACAGAUCUUCAACUGAUUGAAUGAGGCCCACCCACAUUAUGGAGGGCAACUGCGUUACCCAAAGUCCGCUGAUUUUAACCUUAAUCUAUGCCAAACACCAUCACAGAAACAUUCAGAAUAAUAUUUGACCACAUUUCUGGGAACCCCAUGGCUCAGCCAAGUUGACACAUAAAAUUAUCCCUCACCUCAGUGUUUAAAAGUCUUUUCCUACUGCACUGAGCUGCCCAGCAACCCCAGUCUCCCUGCUCUUUUCCCACCCCCAGUGCCUGCUUAUUUCUAGCACUGUCAAGUUUCACUACUUGUCUUACCUGGUUGACUCUUGAGGGUCCCAUCUUCCAUCCCCAAGUGGCAUAUCAGUGUGUUUUCCUGAACAGAAUUAGUUUCCUCACUAAGAGUCCUUGGUCCAACUGUUAAGAUGUUUGUUUCCCCCACUCUGUUACAUCCUUAAUAAUGCUGGCAAUUUAAAAAUCUUUGAGGGUGUUCUGUGUUAAAGAAACUGAACAAUCACUUGCAUUUAAUAAAACUAUAACAAUUUAUAUUAUAAAAGGACUAAUUGUAAAGAGUCUAUUAAAAAGGAAAAUUCCCUUGUGCCUUUAAAACAUGAUCGCGUAUAAAGUUUGCUUUCCCUGUGAUCUCUCCAGACACUCUGAUAACGAGAAGGCAGACACGACUAGAGUUUGCUCCUUAUUGAGCCAGAGCUCACUGCGUGCAGCCUAGAAAGCGGGAAUGCCCAGUCGGACUGUGCUUCUGCCUGGGUUGGUGUGGCCUCAUGCUCACAGCUAAAAAUGCCUCGUUCCUGGCCGACUCUAGAGUGGCUGAGAACAGCAAAUACUUAGAGACAGAGAAGAUUUUUUCUAUGAUUUUGUUUUUACCACUAAGAUUAGCAUGUAUUUAUUAAAGUGAUAAUCAGCUAACAUUUUUGAGCACCUGCUAUGUUGCAGGGCCCUCUGUUAAGCGCAGUAUAUGCCUUACCUCGCUUGAUUUUUACAAAUCCCUCUCAUGAGGUGCUCUUGUCACUUCAUUUUAUAGAUGAGGAAGUGGAGAUUUGACUACUGUUUGUAAGGUCACACAGCUGACCCUCCUGAGGGAUUUGCAUCCAAAAGAACCUGACUCCAAGCUUAGCCAGCAUGCCAGGCUCUGUCUGAUCACGUGCUGGAUGUUCUGCUGGAUGCCUCCUGCAGCAAACGGGUUGGUUUUGUUAGAUCUUAGCCAUUCAUCACAUUACAUACUUAGCCACAUCACAGCAUUUUACGAUAAAAUUAAGAAUCCCUUUUUUCCUCAAUUCCUUGUUGCAAAUCAAAUUUUAGAGUAUGGGAGGGAGGCCCUGGGGGCACUUAGCUUCUUAAGGCUGUAGCCUACAGAGUCUUGUGGAACAAAAUUCUGGCUCAUUCUUCAGUGAUGCAGCUUGGGACCAGUGUUGGUAUCAACGUGGUGUUGUUACGUGGCAAAAGCCGAGGCGUCAUCCUCUAACUGCCACCUGCUCUGAUGUCUCAGGGGGUGUUGUCUGUCUUGUUCUGAGUGACUUUUAGAAAUGAGGAUUCUUGGACAACUCCCUGAGAAGUUAUUCCAGAAUCUUAGAACAAGCAAAGUCAGGAAGAAUAGCAGAAUGUAAGACAGAACAACAAGAACAUUCUGAAUUUCCCUCCAGGCAGGGCUGGGAACAAUAUCCAUAACAUCUCUGGAGAGAAGAAAAAUGAGAACUGUCACUUGCUCUCUCUCUCAUCACCCCUGCAGGAAGGGGAACACGGCCAUUCAGCUGCAAUGCCACGGAGCUCCUCCUGAGCUCUCGGGAGAACAAGAGGACGUGUCUGUUUAAUGCAUUGUACAGAAAGCAGUGAGGCUGGAAGUGAAUGAUCCCACCCAAAGGGACAGAGAGCAGCCCUCCACUGCCCCGGUGAUAGAACGCUGGCCAUCAUGGGGGUGGGGACCUGGACGCAUGGGACGGAGAAGUUCAGCAACAGCAGCAGCACACUAAAUACCAUUUCCUACAAGGAGCACAGGUGGCCGGAGAGUGCAGGGCACGUUGAAGGGCAAGCCCACCUUCGACUCAGUGCUUAGGAGACUCUGACCAAGUGCAAGCAGAGGCAGAGAGCGCUGCUGCCGCCCUGACGCUGUAGCACACACAGCAGCCCAAGGAAGGAGGGAGGCCACGAGGGCCCAGCUGGACCACACUACUCCCUUCUUCGUGCGGACGUUAGCGAGGGAGGUGAAUGGCCGUGUGGGCAUCAUUUACAUGUAAAACUUGCUCUUCAUCAUUUCUUUUCUUUGUUAUCCAAAUAAUAGACAGGGAUUGUGAAGGAGAGAAAGCAAGAAGGAAGGAAGGAGGGAAGAAAGGAAGGAAGGAAGGAAGGAAGGGAGGAAGGGAAAAGAAAGAGAAGGAAAGAAAAGAAAGGUAAGAACAAGAUGAGGGGUACCAUGGGGGAAACUGCAACUUCCUCUGAAUCUAUAAUCAUUUCCAAAAAAAAAUAAAGGAAUGAGGAAAUCCCAUAAUUCCACCCUGCAGAAAUCGCCAUCGUUAAUAUUGUUGCACGCAUCUUUGGUUACAUGUGCGUGUCUGUAUAAUUCAUUGUGAUUAACAAAGCACAAUAAAUUGAAUGAGAGGGAACUACAGAGUAGGAGUGAGUCAUUCUCAUCAAAUGUUUUGCAUCCUUAUAAAGUUUCCACAAUUCCUCCACGUAAAGCUAUGUUAAGCUCUGGAUUGAGAGGACCCUACCCGACAUUAGAGUAAGGUUCUGUUGUUUCAAAUGGACAAAACCCCUGGAAGCAACCUACUUCUAGAAUUCUGCCUUAAAAGUGUUUACUUCUCCCUGGGUAGACUAUCCAUCUCAGUUUCCCUCAGAAAAGAUCCCUGUGUUGAGGGCUUCAGAACCUUGCCAUUUACGUAGGCAACAGUCCUUAUAGAAGAGUGAGUAGUACAGCCGAUGAAGAAUGACAUAGCAGAAUAAUAGGAUAUAGAAAGAGAUUUAAGAGAAGUCCACAUCCUGAACACAGAAGAUGAAAAGGAAGGAAAUAUGGUGAAGGGUGUAUGGUACACGCCUAAAAUUAAGCCCAAUAUUAUGUGCUGUCUUGAAAUCUGAAUCCAGAAGGGCCUUGAAUGGCGUAACCACAAGUUCCCCUCCCUACUCUGCUCCCAUGGAUAAGAUGCCGUAGCCACACAACCCUCCAUAUCACAGGGACCAAGCACAGUGCCUGCUUAUCCCUGAAUCCUGGGCUUCAGUUCCCUGCCAGCCCACAGAAUUAUUCAAACAAGCCAACUCCAUCCUCCCUUGGGAACCAGGGUGCACUCCACCCUUUUGAUACUACGAAACCUGCUUCCCCAGCCCCUCGGUUCCUGACUGCAACCCUGCAUGGCUUUGUGCGGCAUCCAGGUCCUCCUGCCCUAGGCUUUGAGCAUGUGUGACUAAUAAACUGCUGUUCAUCUCAUCUGCCCAGUGUCACUGUCGAGUGUUUGGCCAUCCCCCAAAGCCGAGGGUGGGACUCCCUCCUUCACCAACAGGGUGAAGAGGAGGCAAUCAAAACAGGGUGGGGUGCUGAGUCAGGAGUCACAGCCUUGCCCAACCAAGGAGCCAUGUGGCCUUGGGCAAAGUGCUUGUCUGUUUGUGAAGUCCUAAGUCACAAAACAGAAGCUGUUAGAGCUGGUUGAGUCAAUUCUGUUUGCUUGAUUUACUUACAUUUCCUGCCUUUGUCAGUAAAUGUCAGCAAGCAGGGUUUGCCUUGCACGGGUUGCUCUGCCAGUGUGGGAGGAACUCCCCCCCAGGGCAGGCCACUGGCUGCAGGGUGGGCACCUUGAAGGGUUGGGCUUCAGAGCUGGGAGUGACACGAAUAUGUCAGGACCGCAAGAGGAAGGAAACUCCUUAUCUCUGAGCCUUCCUGUCUUCUUCUUACUGAGGUUUUUCCACAUUAAAAGUGUAAAAGGGCAUAAGCGCAAGCAUGCUUUUGAGAUCUAGGCAUAUUUGAGUAAUUCGGAACAGGCGUUUUAUAUCCAAAGGGGCAGAGAAAAAGAAAGGCUAAGAAAACAAGCUACUGAGAUUAUCUUUCCUUCAAGAACCAAAGGAAUGAGAGUAAAUAAAUUCAUUAAAGAAGAAAGUGUCCUCUGCUAUGUUUUGGCAUCAUCAUUCUUAUCUGUCCUUUCAAAGACCUUUGUUCUUAUAGUAACAGAACUUCAUACUUCUUUGGGUGUUUGGAGGGAGGUUUCCCUCUGGUUGUUGACAAUCGUCCCACAAUAUGUAGCAGCUACUUCAUAUUUAUGGAACAUAGGAGGAGGCAGUGCAGACAUUAUUAUUCUCAGAUACCAGGUAAGUUAAUGGUAUAAACAGCAAUGGGCUGAGACCUCCUGUUCCUUGUUACCAUCCUACAACAAGGGAUGCACAUGGUGUGAAAUCCCUCUUAGCAAGCCUGCCAUCUCUCUGUUUAGACAGUGCUGAUCGCUGCUGCCCUCAGAGACAGCAGACAAGAGAUGUCAAUGGGAGAAGAAGCCAGCUGGUACUCAGGCAGGGCCUCACAGACUGGUGGUGCCUUGGGAAGGGUUACAUAGUUCAGGAGAGGGUCUAAAUGUGCAAUUCCAGAAAAUGUGCAGGCCAAGGGGAGUAACUCCUGCUCAGCAAACUCGCAAAGACCGACCUGUAAGCCAGACUUCUAACUUGUCAGGCCACGGUGAGAUCCUUAACUGCCGAGCGGCAUGGAUGUCUGUGUCAACUGUCCAAUUUUAAGAUGCACCUUCCCCCCUCAUGUUUUAACAUCCCUGACACAAGGAUUCAUUUUGCAACCAGACAGCAGCUCUGCCCUAGUUGCUGUUGCCUGCAAAUGGAUGAAUUUGCUUGUUAUUUCUUGAGACAUGCCUGGAAAAUUGCAGCCAUUGAUGCUUCAGUCAACAAACCAGGGAAGACCUCUUGGGAGAAAGAAUACGAGUCAUGAUUCUUGUCUGAAAACUUCUGUUGAUGUCUAUCUGGUAAGAUCAAGAAAGCGCUGGAAUCUAAACCCUCAGAAUUGGGGUUGGCAGCUUGAGAAAAGCUUGGAAGAAAAUCUGAGUGGAUUUCUUAGAGCACUCUUUUUUUUUCCUCGUAACAUUUUAUUUAGAAAACUUUUAAACCUACAGAAAAGUUAAAAAAUAGUUCAGUGAAGACCUAGACAUCCUUCCCCUAGAUUUUGCUAUGGAUAUCGUUUGGGGAUGUUUGCCUUACCUCUCUUUCUCUGUCUCUCUGAUUUUUUGGGUGUUUUUGUUUGUUUGCGGGAUCAUUUUGAAAGUGAUCUGCAAAUAAUGUGACACUUCACUCCUAAAUAUUUUUAAGAACAAGGACAUUCUUCUAGAUGAUCACAUGGUAUUAUCUCACCCAAGAAAGUUAACGUUGAUGUCCUAAUAUCAUCUGAUAUAUAGCCCAUAUUCAAAUUUCUAGUAGAACAAAUAUACGUAUGUUUUAUUCUCUUUUAAGAAAUGCUGCACCUCAUUGAACGAAGAGGAUGCUAUCAUGGAGGAAAAAACAUAGACAUCAAUGUCUCUGAGUUUAAAAUGAUUCAGAAGAAUCAGAGACUGAAUAUGAAGAAGUCUUAGGAAGUACUUUCACCAUUUUAUUUCUCUUACAUUUUUCUUUUCAUGUACGGACAGACUUGAUGUACGAUAACAUCUGUAUCUAGAUAAGUCUCAAAUCAUCUAAAGGAUUAAAAGCUGACAGGAUAAGAAAGCGUGUUGUAGUGUAAUUGGCAUAAUUGCUUUUUCUUUGCGGUACAUAAAAUAAUGGUGCACCUGAUAUUUGGUGAAAUACUUAGGCAUUUGGAGCUUCGGAGCCAAGAAGAAAACGUGCCAGUACAUGAACUCUGCUGAGCGUCCUGAGUGCGACUGUUUACACACCUGAUGCCUGGUGGUCGGGUCAGGCCCACUCCCUAUUCUGGAGCCAUUGGGCUGGAGACAGCCUGACCGGCUCUCCCUCCCUGUUCCCCUUUCAGGACUCCAGGCUGUCCUCCCCAGCUCCUGCCUGUGGUCAAGUUCUUCCUUCAGCCCAGUUACAACACAAUUAAUUUAAGUUCUGCUUUCUCUCCAAAUGGACCAGGUGUUCCCAAGUUGCCUCAAUCUGAGCUCUUCUCUUGGUGCCUCUCUCAACUUUCACAGCUAGCUAAUUAUGACCAUUUCUAGUUUAUUCUUCCCCGUUCUGCUCUAGCAGAGCAAUCGGAUUUUUGCUUUCUGGGCUCACCUUCCUUGUUACCUUCUAAGCGCUCGCUUCCAGCACACCUCUGCCCAGCUGUCCUGGCUUCCCCUCUGUGUGUAAGAAGUAUUGUUGAAGUUAGCUUGUCCCACCCCAGCCUUCCUGGCACACAGGCCCGGGGAAGUCCUGCACCAGCGGCAUCUGGCCCUCUUUUCAGGGAAAAUCUCAAAAAGGUGCCAUUAGAGGGGGUCUUAUUGGGACCUACGGAGCUGCUGAACCAAAUUCCACCAUUUAAGUGCAGAAAUGCUUGCUUUCACUGGGCAAAAUAAUAUUUAAUACAGUCAUUUAACUAAAACAUAUUUUAACUAGUUGUGGUGGGCUGUAUAGCUAUAGUUUUUGGUUUUCUUGUGAAUUUUCUCUACCCUCCCUGCCCGCCCCCACCCCUGGCCAUGAAGGCAUGGGUACAUAGCCUGGGCCAAGCCAACUGGAGAAUUCCAGUCUCCUGGAGCCUGACCCACUGGCUCUAAUUGAAACCCUCCUGUGAGAAUCAGUCAUGUUCUCAAGAUGGUGCGAGAGAGAAGCUCUCUUCUCAGAGGCGUUGCUGUGUUUGGACUAUGUAUGUCUGGAGAUGCCAGUAUCAUCUGCCUUUCCACUGAGAGAAAGAGAAAAAAAUCUUUCUUCAGAAUACAGGCAAGAAUAGAGAGACGGAUGAAAACAGGCAGAGAUGAGAAACAGAAAGAGGGGCCUGGUGGUGCUAGGUCCUCCAUCCCUGAAGUCUGGUUUCUAUAGAAACUCUUCCCUUGAUACUGCGAGGUUGGUUCCGUCCCUCUUUUUUUAACCUAGUUUUGUUUGUAUUUCUACAUUUUGCAACCAAAAGCAUCCCAACAAAUGUAACAGUUGCCUCCAUUCACCAAGUUACACAAUGGCCCCUGCGCACAUGCCAAGGACACUUGGCUGCAACUUUUACUUGACCAUGACACUGUACUUUCCUUCUGUUUCGAAGUUUUUGCUCACCAAAUACAUUUACUUUUGAACAACUGAAAAGACCAAAGGGAACUCUGCUCCUGGCCAGUGUUCUUUCUAUUUUACCACUGCUGUGAUUGGUGCCCUCCUAGACACGCACACAAGCCACACACACACACAACACACACACACAACACACACACACACUCACACCACACAUACCAGGUCUAGAUCAAAGAUUUCAACUCAAAUAAUUACAGGGGUGAGGCAGGUAAUGUCAAGUGAACGAGGAGGGCCGGGUGCUCUGGUAAUACAAUAGGGAGUGGAAGGGCUGCAGCAGACUGGAGGGAGCGUGCUCCACCUAAAGGCAGCCGGAUUCAAAUUACAGCAGCAGCAGCAGCCGGCGUGGCCACAGUGAACACGUCUGUGGUUGGCCCUGCAGGCUGCUGUGUGGCGAUUCCUGGCCUCCAGUGUAUCUACUUGCCUUCCUUUCUUUGUCAGGGAGCAUUUGGGUGUGAAGAACAGAGUUCCACCGGAGCUAGCUCAAGUAAAGGGCCGUUGCAUACAAGUUUGUAACAGAUAGUAGCUUGGACACAAGACCCAAAGUAUAAGCAAGUCUCAUGGGACAGGAGUGAGCCCUAUUGGGAGCCAGAGAUACUCUCUAUUUCUGAUUCCUGUCUCUAUCUUGAGGACUUGCCAGUCUUGAGAGAGAGUUGACUCAUGGCUGGCCAGUGAACCAGACAUGCAUUCCUUGUCUAAUAGGUAUACAGACGGUGCCUGACUUACCACGGUUCAACUGAAGAUGUUUUGACUUUACAAUGGUGCAAAAGCGAUACGCAUUCAGUAGAAACUGUACUUUGAAUUUUGAAUUUUGGUCUUUCCCUGGACUAGCGAUAUGUGGUAGGAUGCUGUCUCAUGAUGCUGGGCAGUGGCAGCAAGCCACAGCUCCCGGUCAGUCACGUGAUCAUGAGGAUUAAACAACCAACAUACUUACAACCAUUCUGUACCCGCAUAGCCAUUCUGUUUUCACCUUCAGUACAGUAGUCAAUAAGUUACAUGAGAUAUUCAACACUUUAUUAUAAGAUAGGCUUUGUGUUAAAUGAUUUUCCCAAGUGUAGGCUAAUAUAAAUGUUCUGAGCACGUUUAAGGUGGGCUAGGCUAAGCUACGAGGUUUAGUAGGUUAGGUGUGUUAAAUGCAUUUCCAACAACGAUAUCUUCAGCUCAGGAUGAGUCUGUCAGGAUGUAACCCCACCAUAAGUCAAGAAAGGUCUGUAUGUUGGAGAUGGGGUCAUGUCCAUGGACCAUCUAAGCUCAUGUCUUCAGCAGAGGCUGUGGAUGGGGGCAGACCAUUCAACCUGCCUUGUACAAUGGCGUUGCCCCCCAAACAUUAUCAACUCCAAAAUUAGUUCAGAUUCAGGGAAUUUGUUAACUUUGCAUAUUUUCUUUUAAUUUUUUUCAGUCUGAUAGAAGAUAGGGACUUUUAAUAGGGUGUAUGUGUGAGUCAACAAAAAUAUCUGGAAUACGAUAACUGAGUUAGGAAAGCUUUAUUGCUCAUACAGUUUGCAAACCGGGGAGACAGGGCCUUUGGCAGCAAAUGGAAAGAACAUUCCUGGGAGAACAAAGACAAGGGACUGCCUUUGUAGAAAAAGUUCCCGCACAGGUUCCCACUCAGGUCCUCUUAUUCAAAUGAAGGAUGCAAGCCAGGUCAAUCCUGACUGGUUGGCGCAGGCCACAGUUUUAUUGAUUAGGUCCAAGCGGCUGUUAGGGGCUUUUGUAAAAAACAGGAACUUCUGCAGAGUCAAAGCUUAAGAGUAGAUUCAGUGGUUUUUCUGAGAACAGAGUACGUGACUGCAUCCCUGUCAUGAUCUUGUCGUGGCCACUUGACUCCAUUUUGUUCAUAAGUCCUGGUUAGCCACACAGAGCCCUUCUGGUUCCCAGGGGUCUUUUUGAUUUCAUUUUAUUCCCCAUAUAUGUAUCUACAGUUAGUCAUUAGUGAACAUUCUUCUGGACUUAAAUUGGGUCAGCGCUUACAGGGUCUUUUCUUUGGUUGCUUGCUGAUUAUCCAUCUCUCUUUCCAACUCUUCUCUUCCUCUUAUCCCUGCAACAGUCCUGCCUCAUACUCUGCAUAGAUUAGUAUGAAAUGUCUAUUGUCUUCUACCGUGGGGCAACCCUGAAUAUCAUCUCCUAAUUAAUCUUUUCAAAGUGCCAUUGCUGUUAUAUUACUCUUCUCUGGGGAACCUGCUGUGGUUCCCCACUGGUUUUCAAUCCUGGAAAAAUUUAUUAACUUCUCUGAAGCUUGCACCUUAUUGUAAAAAGGUACAAAAAUACCAGCCUUGCAGGGCUGUGGUCAGGGCUAGAGGUGAAGUCCAAAAAUGCCCGGAGCAGUGUCUGGCAAAGCGUCAAUGCUCAAUAAAUAUUUGUUUGUAUCUCACAUUUUGGCUGAGUCUACACCAUUUCUACACUGUUUCCUGAGUCUAUACCAUUUCCACAGAGUCCUCCAGCUCCUUGAGAACAUCCUCUUGCUUUUCCUAUAUUGUCUACAGCCCCCAGAGCCUCUAGGUCAACCAUUCUGGUACCCAGUACACACUCAGUGAGGCUUGUGCAAUGAACUGGGAAAAUGGUCAGACUGGCACCUAGGAGAUGCAGCAGGCGGCCCAGUGGCCUCAAAACAGGUCACUGCCCUCGUGCUUGGCUCUUCACAGCCACCAGCGUGGAGCCUGUUGUUUCCAGCACCUACAGGUUGCUUCUUAGGCUCUUGUAAUGGGCUCCGAAUUUUCCUGACUCUGCUCGGGGUGCUUCUGUGACACCUUCUAUGGACUUGUCACUCCAGGAUGAGGACUUACGGACUCUAUAACUCUCUUCCCCAAGACAGGACUAGGAAACUGCAUGGUGGGAGAUUAAAUAAGAGUCAGUAAACCACUGACAAGUCUGAGUUUGCAUCCACAAAUCUCAGACGUGGUCUGGCUCCCUGGGUACAAGAGUGUGUCAUUAGCCGCCUUUGGUUCCCAGGAGCAGAAGUGCACUCACUUGAGUAACAGGGCAUUGUUGUCAAGAUACCGUAGAAAUAAGAACAAAGGGACCUCUGCCAAAGGGCCAGCCUUAAGAGCACCUGUGAAGAGCUGGGGCUCACCCAGAAUGGAUGUGGUUUGGGAAUGGAAAGUUCUAGUGGUUAGGUUCUGCUGACACUUCAGCAGCAUGAGCACCUCAUUACCAUGUCUGCAUCAUCUCUGUCUUUGUUUUUACAAUUUUUUCAACUUCUGCUCCUUUAACCACUGCUCAACCCUCUUUUUAUGUCUCCUGUUCAAACCCCUCAGGAUAGGAUUUGAUUAAUCUACAAUGUCAGUCCUGCUGGGCAGUUUUGCCCCAAACCACACCCCAGGUGACAUCUUAGGUCCUGGAUAGAUUGCUUCAGAUCAGGUGUCUGCUCUGGUCCAGUAAGAUGUGGCCAGGGUGGUGGGGUCACAGGCAAUGGUAAGGCACCUCCAGGGAAGACCCUUUGGGAGCACUGAGGGUGUGUGGAUCUCAGGAGGUUUUGCUGCCUCAGUUUCUCUCUUCCUUGUUUCUCUCUUCCCAUAAAAGACAUCAAAUAAUAGUCAAUGUUCAUGGGAUUUUUUCCCAUAAUGUUUUCUAUUUUAGCUGGGGAAAGAAGCUAUUUCUUUUUUUGAAAACAUCCUGAAUUUUACUCCUUCCUGCUUCAAUUCCUUCUCCACUGCUAAAGUUCUCUUUGUAAAUGCCUAUUAAAUCACAUCAAGAUAAAAUCUUUCAGUGGCUUUCCAUUACAACUUCAGGCUGAAAUCUUAGCUCCUUAGCACAGCAGUCCAGACCCUAAUGAGCCAGCUGCAACCUGUCUCAUUGGUCUCAUCUCCUCCUCUUCCAUUCCACACUCCUCCAUGCCCCAUAGUAUACACACACACACACACACACACACGCACUCAAUGUGCAUACAGACACAUAUGCUCUAACCAUGUCCAAAUUUUGCAGUCCCCUGAAUUUAUUAUAGUCUCCCAUGCUUGGAGGCCUUUCUGCAACAUGUUUCUCUCUCUCUUCUGAUUAACUCCUACUCACCCUUUGGGAUUCAGCGUCAAGUCUCUUAGCAAAAUCUUCCUCUCCCCUCCAGAGUUGACACGGAUGCCCUCUGUCAUGCACCCAUGGCAUAUGACCCCACCUAGAGCAACUUACCACUCUGCUUUGUAAACGUUGAUGGACUUAUUUAUUUUCUCUGCUGGAUGACAAACUCACCAGGGACAAGAGACUAUAUUUUAUUCAUUGGCGUAUCUUCACAUUUUGUUAGAGCUCAAAAAUUUUUUGAAUGAAUGAAUUUCCUCCCAAAUGGGUUUGUGUUGCAUAAGCAAUGGAAUGAAGUUAAGAACACGAGCUGAGCUUUAGCAUCUUGAAUUCUAGCGCUGUCACUCACUAACUGAUUGACCUUGACUUCUCCGGGGCCCGCAUUCUUUGUUGGGUGGGGUGAGGGGUGUGUGGUCUGAUGUCCUGCUCUCCCAGCUCUAAACUCUCAAAGACCUGUGUCUACGUAGGGCCAUUAGAGGAUGUAAAUGGAGCUUCCCGGCUCAGGACAGCUAGUCACCAAAGAGAUGGUGCAAGAGAUUCCUGCCUCCUGCAAACCUCUGCAGUAGAAACGGGACUGUUCAGUAGCUCCUUCUCCUUUGGCAUUUUUAUGACGUGAUGACUUGACUCAGUUUAUCUUCUCUAAUUGGCUUUUAAGAAGAACAAGCCUUGCACUCUGUGAUUUGGGAACUAACAAAAAGAGAAAGAAAUAAGAAUCUGCCUACAUGUCUAGACAUUCUCCCUGUACUAUAGCUCUCACUCCAUGCUCCUUUUUUUUUUUUUAGCUUUUAUUUGGAAAUAUUUCUAGAUCUUUCCUACCUGAAUCCUUUUCUUGAUUUGGAAUGUUCUCUCCAUCAACAAUUAAGUGUUCUUGGACAAAUAGUGUCCCACAGACUUUAUUCUUUCUCAUAAUAGUGUAAAUUUUUGAAGGACCGCGAAAUAAGAGGAUCACCCAAAGAACAUGGGGUCUGGACGAGACACAGCUACGCUCACCCAUUGUCACCCUAUGGGUUAGCACGUCUGUUGCUAGAAUGUGUUGAACUGAGGCCCAAGCAAGUGAUUUCAGUUAGUUGUUGAUUCCAAACCCAUUGUCUUUCAAGUUUAAUAUUGGCCCGCCUGGUCGCUGUGGCCAAGAACUGUGAGUAGAAAAUAAAGACGAGGUGGAUUAUUGGCCUCCAAGCACCCUUCAGAGGCAAACCUUGCCUUUGAUUGGGUCUUUAUGUGGAUACUCUCCCGUUAUGGUGUUCAAUGCCCUUGCCCCGCAUGCCAGAGCUGAGUUAUGGCGGGGGAGUGUUUACGCGCCUUCUGGGGAUAAGCUUUUAAUCACCUACAAAGAGCAGUUGGCCUCCUCUAAAAACUCUUCAAUAAAAUGAGACUCAGCCCUCAGUCGGCUCAGCCCUUGUCAGCCCCAGGCCUUCUUGUGCCAAGAGGCACUGAAGCCAGAAAGAGAGGUCAAAAAGUUAUUAAGCGUUGGCACGUCUUGCUGGCUGGCUUGUUUGGUAUAUCCUUAUUAAAACAUAGGUGAAUGUUGGCUGGCUUCUUUCUGGCUUUUAUAAAUACCAUCGCGCCCAUUUUCAUUCCUUUCUUCUCUGCCUUCUUCUGCAAAGGCGCCUGUGAGGGAGGAUGGACAAGCUGAAUUCAUCUGUAGAGCUGUCAGCUUAUGAGAGGGAUUCCCGGUGUCUCAGACGAUUAGUGCUGAGGAUGCACAUCAAGGGGGUGGGGUUAUGAGAUCACCCAGGAGCUGGCCAGAUGGACAGAGCAGUUAGGGCUAAACCCUCCCCUGGAAUCCAGCUCCUCCGAGAGGGCUUCAGACGGCGGCUGAGCUCUGUGUCCACUAGAUGGCACAGUGACACUGGGCACGCACACAUCAUGGCGGCCUCUGGGGCUCCCGCAGUCACUGUUUCUGCUUGGUCUUCCCCGAACAAAAGGUGGAGGAUAGUUAAGGCAGGGAGCUGAGGAUAAACUCCAUGAACAUGUAUAUUUUGGAUUGGUUUCUCUAAAUCUUCAUAUAUGCUUCGUGAAAAUUGCGUGGACUUUGUGAAACUCUGGACAAUAAUUAACGAUGAGAAAUCGUAGAAACACAAAAAUGCUUGACAAUGUAAGAGAAAUGCUAUUUAAAGUGGAUCUAACCAUCUUUGACAGUUGGAAAAUGUAUCCUAAUAUUUGGGGAAAAUUUAUGUCUUCAGGAGCUCUUAUGUUAUGCCAAGUAUUGUCGUAAGUACUUUGUCUGCAUUAAUUCAUUUAAUCCUUAUAAUAACUUACAAAGUAAGUGCUAUUAACAUACUAAUUUUGCAGACCGGAAAAUUGAGAUACAGAGGGGUUAAGUUACUUGCCUAAAGUCACAGAGCUGAUAAGUGCUAGAAUUGAGACUCAGUUUUGGCUCCAAAGUUCAUGCUCUCCAGGACUAUGCUGUCUAUGAAAGAGAAAUCUAGAGAGCUCUGCAAAAUAAGCUCUUAUGCUUUCUCAUCACAAGGGAAAAGCUUAGGUUCUGAACAUCAUCCUCCCGAAUAGCCCCCCUUCAGCAUCACUACAUGGGGGCGUUAAUGCUCUAAGUCAGAGCGUCAGUAGUCUCAUGUUCUAGUUCUACAGCAAAUGUCAUCGUCUCUACAGAAAUAAUGCCGGGAUAGCAUAAUUUUUUGUGUUUUUCUUUAGAAGAUGGUUGCUUAAAAAAAAUCCGCCUUGUUGAUUCUCAUUCCGAUUUUCAUUUACAGACAGGUAAAUUAAUACGUUAAAUUGUUUAUCCACUUAAGGAUACUUAGGAUCUGGCUGGAGAAUUUAUUCUGAUAUUGAUUCUUCGAUUUAUGCAAUGAUGUUGACAGGAUAUAUGCAAUGUGACUGGCCCUGAGGUUAGAGAAAUAACUCAGGCAGGUUUACCACUUUCACAGCACUCAUGGUUCGACAGAGGGGACAAACACGUCAACACACCACGAAAAGCAACGCUGUUGGAUGGUUGGGUAAAACUUUGGGCAGUUGGUGGGGAGGGAGGUUGCCUAUCUCUGGAGGGAAGCCAGCCCUCACAGAGGACAGGAUCCUUGGGCUGAGCCACAAAGGAUAAGCAGGGGUCCCCUAGGUAAACACAGUGUUCCCAGGGAAGAAGGACACUGUGUCCAAAAUGCUCCCAGAGGCCAGUCACAAAGUUCUCCACGAGCCAGUCAAAGUUGGAGCUUUAUUCUGUAUCUGAUGGAAAGCCACAGUGGGCUUCCCAGGAAGAGAGUAACAUCAUUAGGUUUGUGUUUAGGAAGGACUCUGGUCUGGAGGAUAGAACAUGGGGGCAGUGCAUAGACUGCAUGCAGAGCCGUUAGGAGGUUUCUCCAACAGUGGAGAUGAACUGAGACAAUUAGGGUGGGGGAGGACUAGUGGGGUGCGGGGAAGGAGUUUUAGGGACAUUUUAGGGAUACUAUAAGUAGGACCUUUCCUUAUAUCCGUAUGUAUGAAUUAUUUGUGGCCAGCUUUCUCCCACAAAGGAUUUGGGGUGACACAGGACUUGAUAAUUAGAUGAAUGCAGAGCCUGGGGAGAGGAGAGCACCCAGCAAGAUUCCCAGUGUCUGGCUUGGAUGACUGGGUGGAUGGGGUACCAUUAAUCAAUAGGAGAAAUGACGGGGAAGGAUCCCAUGCUCGAGGGGACAUCAAUGUUUAAUCUCAAAUAUAUUGCAUUUGAAGUGUUGUGGACAAUCCAGUGGCUAUAAGGAUCUGCACCUGGUGAGAACAGUCAAGGUUGGAAACGUAGAAUUUGGAAUUAUCAGCACAGUGGGGGAGGCCGGGACUGUGAGGAUAGAUAUCCUUAAAGACUCUGAUAAAAAUAUGAAUCAUUUAGUUGUUUGGCUGUUUACUAUUUCAUAUAUCUUUCUGCAUUUUUUUUUCACCAUUCAUCAAAAGUUUCAGUAUCAUAUAGACAGCUUCAGGGAGUAAUAACAGAACUGGGCCAAGAAUACAGUGUCUCCGGGAUUUCUUUGGUCUGCCUUUGCUUGUGCCCGCAGUCCCGUGCACAUUUAAUACUCAAAGUUCUUCCCGAGGUAAAUCGAAGACUGGUGCGGAGGGAGAAGACCUUGAGAUUUCCAUCAGAUCAUUUGCAGAUUCUAGACAACAGUCCACCCCCAGCGCCUUGCACUCCGGCUCUUUGAAGAACUGGAGAGAACACGCUUCCCUGGCAGGCCACUCUCCCCUGUAAGCAGCCUUGAUAGUUAAUCAUUAGGUUUCUCUGCGAUGGAGGAAGCUUUGUGUUCUUUCGGAGAAGACAGCAGAAGGACUACUUGCUAGAUGGUAUGGGGGCAAAGCACAUGGGUUUGCCAUCUGCUCCCAGCUUUGGCAAAAUGGAGGCAUUGAAGGCAGCUGUGCCAGCACGAGGGCGAAAUUCAGUGGGAGAGACCUUAUUCCUCCAAUCUUGGGGCUUUUGCCAUGGCAACAGACAACUCCUGAAUUCAAGUGGCUUACACCAGCAAACAUUCAUUUCUCCACAAUGCGACACAAGAGCAGUGGAUUGGCCACAGCUCUGCUCUGGACUGUGGGCUGACUCUGGGUCGGCUUCUUGCAUCUUCUUGUUCUGGGACUCAGGCCGCAGAAGCAGCCCCCACCUGCAACAUGCAGCCUUGUGGCAGAGAGAAGAAGCACAAGAGGUUGAGCCAAACCAUGCAAUCUACUGCUCAGAAACGGUUUGUGUUACACCCGCUUGGAUCUCAUUGGCCAAAUCAAGUCACAUGCCCAAGCCCAGAGGAAUGUAUGAUAGGGAAGGAGGAAGUGAAUAGAUGAGCAUGGUAACACUAUCUGCCACAGUUAUUCAUUCAUUCAUCAUGUAUUUAUUGAGUGUCAGUCCUGUGCUGGAAAUUGAUCUAUAGAAAUAGAUUAGUUCCCUGCUCUCAUGGAGCUUACAAUCCAGUGUGGGACACACAUGAUGAAAGCAGCAAUUACAAUAAAGGCUGAGCUCAGACCCGGAUUUCAGACCCCUUACAAGGGGAGUGGAGGCUGUAGAGCAUAGGGUGCCCACCGUGAACUUUUAGGGAUGAAUUGCUCCAGAAUGUUACCACAUCAAGGCCUAAACGAUAGUUUUCCAUGGAUGGUGUGGGCGGUGGUGAAGACGUUGUGUUCUUGAUUCUACUCCGGUCACCUGCCUCCUGGGGCUCUUUAAGGCCUUCUUUGCUGACAUAGUCUCAGUUCCAGGGUUAAUAAACUCCACCAAUCUCUCAACAUCUUCGAAGAAGGCUAUCUCUCAGAAGACUCGUCCUUGUGGGUGCCACCUCUCCAGCCCUCUUGAAGCCGGAACCAGGAGAUAGCAGCAUGUUCUCCUUACUCUCCAGUGUGGCUUCCUAUACCGUGCUGUGACGCUCUGUGCUCCUUUGAAAGGAGAAAUUCUUGGUAACAUAUAUGUGGAUGGCCCCACUGGGGUUCAGGGAAGGCCCUGGCAGAGGGUGACUGCCACUCUUCUUCACACUCAACAAAAUAUUGUGCAAGUAUCAAGGGGUGGGCCCAUGCAGGCAGCUUGCAGAUUAUGUGCAGGGAGCGAAUGGCUUUGAAAUACGGCAGACCAAGAGUUUCCAUCAAUGACUUGUUCAAAUUUACCUUUUAUACGAGUUCUUGGCAUCAAGAACGGUGACCCUGGCCAUUGGGGUCCAAGGUCACAGGUGAAUAUAAAUACACCCAGAGGCUGUAGAGAAGUUUACACAGGGCUAGUUAAGGCUGAAAGCAAGCCAGCCAAGUGGGGAAAUAGCUCAAGUGCCCUGUCUGCAAAGCUUUACUAAGAUUUAUUUGGAAAGUUAUGGUCUCUCCCAAAAUGAAUCCACAGAUUGCCUUGCUCUGAUUACAAGAAGAACGUUGAGGUCUUUAUUAACAGUCAUCAUUGGAUUCCUUCCCUCCUUAAGGAGAUUAAUUAGGUAAAUUUCAUUACAGUAACACCAACUUUCUUGGAAAGAAACCAUCCAACUUCAGAAUGACUUUGAGUUUAUAUCUGGAAACUAAGCAAUGUUAAUGUUUACAGUUGAGAAUGUGAAACAUUAGGUUUUAAUAGAUGUUGAUGUCAUUCUUGGCAUCCUGAAAUGAUAUAAACUACUCUGCGAAGAGGUAA